UAAUCAUGCAAGUUGAACGCUUGAUUUUCACCGAAGCUUGCUUCACCGAAAAUCAAGAGUAGCGAACGGGUGAGUAACGCGUGGGUAACCUACCUUUCAGCGGGGGAUAACUAUUGGAAACGAUAGCUAAUACCGCAUAACAAUGUUGGAUGCAUAUUCGACAUUUGAAAGUACCAACUGGUACACUGAGAGAUGGACCCGCGUUGUAUUAGCUAGUUGGUAGUGUAAUGGACUACCAAGGCGAUGAUACAUAGCCGACCUGAGAGGGUGAUCGGCCACAUUGGGACUGAGACACGGCCCAAACUCCUACGGGAGGCAGCAGUAGGGAAUCUUCGGCAAUGGACGAAAGUCUGACCGAGCAACGCCGCGUGAAGUGAAGAAGGUUUUCGGAUCGUAAAACCUCUGUUGUUAGAGAAGAACGUUGCAUAGAGUGGAAAAUUAUGCAAGUGACGGUAUCUAACCAGAAAGGGACGGCUAAACUACGUGCCAGCAGCCGCGGUAAUACGUAGGUCCCGAGCGUUGUCCGGAUUUAUUGGGCGUAAAGCGAGCGCAGGUGGUUUAAUAAGUCUGAUGUAAAAGGCAGUGGCUCAACCAUUGUGUGCAUUGGAAACUGUUAGACUUGAGUGCAGUAGAGGAGAGUGGAAUUCCAUGUGUAGCGGU
RNAcentral lists this ribosomal RNA (660 nucleotides) under Pseudolactococcus raffinolactis. RNAcentral describes it as "bacterial SSU rRNA". It matches the Rfam family "Bacterial small subunit ribosomal RNA", at positions 50 to 682 of the family's 1533-position model. The record is from RNAcentral. Lineage: Bacteria; Bacillati; Bacillota; Bacilli; Lactobacillales; Streptococcaceae.